Molecule: long non-coding RNA, 426 nt
Organism: Neoarius graeffei (lesser salmon catfish)
Lineage: Eukaryota; Metazoa; Chordata; Actinopteri; Siluriformes; Ariidae
Exons: 2
Source: RefSeq, a predicted model, not a curated record
ACUCCUGAAUGUUGGUGUCUUGCAGACGUUUUUCCACAUUCCUAAAAUUAACUGGAAGAAGCGUCCCAGGCCAGCUGGACCCGAUGGUCAGUUGUCUUCAGAACAGUACAGGCUGAUUGCCUAUCGCAUUGUAUUAGAAUGGGCCCUGAAAGGAGAGAAGCUUGGUCCCGGCAACAGGAGAGUUCUUCCUUCCUGUGUGGUGGAGCUAAUAAGAAGAACAUAUCCAUCACCAAAUGGACAAUAUGCAGGGUUCAAAGAGUCAGUGGAUGCACUGCAAUUGUUUUAGAUCUUUAAAAUUGUAAAGUUUUACUGUACAUUUUCUACAUUGUUACAUUUACCCUUUCUAUGGAAAAUUAUUUGAAACAACAUCGAACAUACAAAAUAGAAACAGAUUUCUGUCCUGUUCAAUAAAACUAUGUUCACAAA